GCAAAAAGCGGGGUGCCAAAUACAUGCAAGUCGAGCGGACAGACGGGAGCUUGCUCCCUUAUGUUAGCGGCGGACGGGUGAGUAACACGUGGGUAACCUGCCUGUAAGACUGGGAUAACUCCGGGAAACCGGGGCUAAUACCGGAUAGUUCCUUGAACCGCAUGGUUCAAGGAUGAAAGACGGUUUCGGCUGUCACUUACAGAUGGACCCCCGGCGCAUUAGCUAGUUGGGGAGGUAACGGCUCACCAAGGCGACGAUGCGUAGCCGACCUGAGAGGGUGAUCGGCCACACUGGGACUGAGACACGGCCCAGACUCCUACGGGAGGCAGCAGUAGGGAAUCUUCCGCAAUGGACGAAAGUCUGACGGAGCAACGCCCCGUGAGUGAUGAAAGUUUUCGGAUCGUAAAGCUCUGUUGUUAGGGAAGAACAAGUGCAAGAGUAACUGCUUGCACCUUUACGGUACCUAACCAGAAAGCCACGGCUAACUACGUGCCAGCAGCCGCGGUAAUACGUAGGUGGCAAGCGUUGUCCGGAAUUAUUGGGCGUAAAAGGCUCGCAGGCGGUUUCUUAAAUCUGAUGUGAAAACCCCCCGCUCAACCGGGGAGGGUCAUUGGAAACUGGGAAACUUUAGUGCAGAAAAAGAGAGUGGAAUUCCACGUGUAGCGGUGAAAUGCGUAGAGAUGUGGAGGAACACCACUGGCGAAAGCGACUCUCUGGUCUGUAACUGACGCUGAGGAGCGAAAACGUGGGGAGCGAACAGGAUUAUAUACCCUCGUUAGUCCAAAAAA
Molecule: ribosomal RNA, 788 nt
Filed under: Bacillus pumilus
Lineage: Bacteria; Bacillati; Bacillota; Bacilli; Caryophanales; Bacillaceae
Description: bacterial SSU rRNA
Rfam family: Bacterial small subunit ribosomal RNA
Source: RNAcentral